Molecule: small RNA, 27 nt
Filed under: Bombyx mori (domestic silkworm)
Lineage: Eukaryota; Metazoa; Arthropoda; Insecta; Lepidoptera; Bombycidae
Description: ovarian small RNA-8038
Source: RNAcentral
UGACAAGAUCGGAGGGGGUCAGAGGGA